UUUCUUUCUAUCCUAGUAUAAC
Molecule: microRNA, 22 nt
Filed under: Macaca mulatta (Rhesus monkey)
Lineage: Eukaryota; Metazoa; Chordata; Mammalia; Primates; Cercopithecidae
Description: Mml-Mir-3146_5p* (star (passenger))
Source: RNAcentral